Molecule: ribosomal RNA, 888 nt
Filed under: Sceloporus dugesii intermedius
Lineage: Eukaryota; Metazoa; Chordata; Lepidosauria; Squamata; Phrynosomatidae
Description: partial 12S ribosomal RNA
Source: RNAcentral
GGGCCAAAAAAAAUCCCCAAAAACAUACAGUUUUGGUCCUAAACUUACUGCUACUUUUAAUCAAAUUUACACAUGCAAGCAUCCACAUGCCAGUGAAAUAUGCCCUAACAUAGCAUAAAUGGAGCAGGUAUCAGGCACAACUACCAGCCAAAAACACCAAGCUUUGCCACACCCACACGGGCCAUCAGCAGUGAUAAACAUUAAGCAAUAAGCGAACACACCAAACUUAAAGCUUGACUUAGUUAUGAUUAACAGAGCCGGUAAACCUCGUGCCAGCCACCGCGGUUAUACGAGGGGCCCAAAGAAGCAGACUCUCGGCGUAAAUAGUGGCUAGAACAACCACCAUCACAUUAAAAACUAAACCAUAUCCUAACCGUAAAACACAGGAUAAAUGAAAUCAAACACUUUUAAUAACAGGUGAAUUUGACCCACGAAAAAACCUAAGAAAAACAAAACUAGGAAUUUAAGUACCCCUACUUAUGCUUUAGUUAAUAUGUUAAAAAAUAUCCGCCAGAAAACUACGAAGGAAAAGCUUAAAACUAAAAGGACUUGGGCGUGCUCCAUACCGACUUAGAGGAGCCUUUCCUAUAAUCGAUACCCCACGCUAAACCUCACCAAUCUUUGCCAAGUCAGCCUAUAUACCGCCGUCGUCAACCCACCUCAUGAGAGAUAAACAGUGAGUACAAAAGUCUAACAACUAAAACGUCAGGUCAAGGUGUAGCUAAUAGAAUGGAAGAGAUGGGCUACAUUUUUUAAGAUAGAACAUACGGCAAGGUACUAUGAAACUUCUACCCAAAGGAGGAUUUAAUAGUAAAACUAACAAGAAAGUUAAUUUUAAACACGCUCUGGAGCACGCACACACCGCCCGUCACCCUCAUAUCACACAAC